RNAcentral lists this ribosomal RNA (647 nucleotides) under Microbacterium sp. RNAcentral describes it as "bacterial SSU rRNA". It matches the Rfam family "Bacterial small subunit ribosomal RNA", at positions 92 to 752 of the family's 1533-position model. The record is from RNAcentral. Lineage: Bacteria; Bacillati; Actinomycetota; Actinomycetes; Micrococcales; Microbacteriaceae.
UCAGUGGCGAACGGGUGAGUAACACGUGAGCAACCUGCCCCUGACUCUGGGAUAAGCGCUGGAAACGGCGUCUAAUACUGGAUAUGUGACGUGACCGCAUGGUCUGCGUUUGGAAAGAUUUUUCGGUUGGGGAUGGGCUCGCGGCCUAUCAGCUUGUUGGUGAGGUAAUGGCUCACCAAGGCGUCGACGGGUAGCCGGCCUGAGAGGGUGACCGGCCACACUGGGACUGAGACACGGCCCAGACUCCUACGGGAGGCAGCAGUGGGGAAUAUUGCACAAUGGGCGGAAGCCUGAUGCAGCAACGCCGCGUGAGGGAUGACGGCCUUCGGGUUGUAAACCUCUUUUAGCAGGGAAGAAGCGAAAGUGACGGUACCUGCAGAAAAAGCGCCGGCUAACUACGUGCCAGCAGCCGCGGUAAUACGUAGGGCGCAAGCGUUAUCCGGAAUUAUUGGGCGUAAAGAGCUCGUAGGCGGUUUGUCGCGUCUGCUGUGAAAUCCCGAGGCUCAACCUCGGGCCUGCAGUGGGUACGGGCAGACUAGAGUGCGGUAGGGGAGAUUGGAAUUCCUGGUGUAGCGGUGGAAUGCGCAGAUAUCAGGAGGAACACCGAUGGCGAAGGCAGAUCUCUGGGCCGUAACUGACGCUGAGGA